This 28-nucleotide small RNA is filed under the name Bombyx mori (domestic silkworm). RNAcentral's name for it is "ovarian small RNA-32188". The record is from RNAcentral. Lineage: Eukaryota; Metazoa; Arthropoda; Insecta; Lepidoptera; Bombycidae.
UGAGAUUAGCCUGCAGGUAAGUGCCAGU